RNAcentral lists this ribosomal RNA (253 nucleotides) under uncultured bacterium. RNAcentral describes it as "partial 16S ribosomal RNA". It matches the Rfam family "Bacterial small subunit ribosomal RNA", at positions 524 to 776 of the family's 1533-position model. The record is from RNAcentral.
UACGGAGGAGGCAAGCGUUAUCAGGAAUUAUUGGGCGGAAAGCGUCCGUAGGUGGCCAUGCAAGUCUGCUGUCAAAGCAUGGAGCUUAACUCCAUAGAGGCAGUGGAAACUGAAUAGCUAGAGGUCGGUAGGGGUAGCGGGAAUUCCCAGUGUAGCGUUGAAAUGCGUAGAGAUUGGGACGAACAUCGGUGGCGAAAGCGCGCUACUGGGCCGAAACUGACACUGAGGGACGAAAGCUAGGGGAGCGAAAGGG